CAUCACCACAGUUGUUGUAACCAUCACACACGAAGUUGAUGGAGAUGCACGUCUUGUUACUGCACUGGAACUCAUCAGGAGAACAAGCUUGGGAAAAAAAAACAAGCAGGCAGUGAGGAACUGAGAUCAGACAUCUAACAUUAGGAGAUGAAUCCCUCUCACAAGGACCCAAAACACAAUCAGCCCGGUGGAGAAGCAUCUAAAAAACCCUUCCACGUGUCAGAAGUGAGACUAAAAUGCUGCAGCCUACCCGUAAUUUCAGCUGAUUUUCUUCACUCAGCAUACUUUUCUACCCUUAUCCCAUAACCAGAAAUAAAAUGAGCUGCUAAUCCUACUGAUCAGCACGUGGCUGUAUGAUCUCUUCAAGUGAUGAAUAAGAUGGAGCUACCAAAUGGAAAACUGAGGCCUAAUGGUCUUCAAGCCAACUGCCUCACAAGUGCCUGGAGCAGAGACCUCUGUCCCAGCUGGCUCUCCUAUGAGCCACAGGAAGGCGGAUUCUGUCCCAGUUCCACUCACCCUUUUGCUAUCUUCUCUGACAGCUAAAAUCCACAGGGCAUGCAAGGAUAAAGCAAAGUAGCUUUAUUCAGCCUGGAGAAGAGAAGGCUGCGGGGUGACCUCAUUGCAGCCUAUCAAUACCU
Long non-coding RNA from Lagopus muta (rock ptarmigan), 638 nucleotides. RefSeq lists it as uncharacterized. NCBI's taxonomy places the organism in Eukaryota, Metazoa, Chordata, Aves, Galliformes, Phasianidae. The record is from RefSeq and is a predicted model, not a curated record. The transcript has 3 exons.